CCUACGGGUGGCAGCAGUGAGGAAUAUUGGUCAAUGGACGCAAGUCUGAACCAGCCAUGCCGCGUGCAGGAAGACGGCUCUAUGAGUUGUAAACUGCUUUUGUACGAGGGUAAACGCAGAUACGCGUAUCUGUCUGAAAGUAUCGUACGAAUAAGGAUCGGCUAACUCCGUGCCAGCAGCCGCGGUAAUACGGAGGAUUCUAGCGUUAUCCGGAUUUAUUGGGUUUAAAGGGUGCGUAGGCGGUUGGUUAAGUUAGUGGUGAAAGUCCGCGGCUCAACCUCGGAAUUGCCUCUGAUACUGGUCGGCUAGAGUGUAGUUGCGGUAGGCGGAAUGUAUGGUGUAGCGGUGAAAUGCUUAGAGAUCAUGCAGAACACCGAUUGCGAAGGCAGCUUACCAAGCUACUUCUGACGUUGAGGCACGAAAGCGUGGGGAGCAAACAGGAUUAGAUACCCUGGUAGUC
Molecule: ribosomal RNA, 460 nt
Filed under: uncultured bacterium
Lineage: Bacteria
Description: partial 16S ribosomal RNA
Rfam family: Bacterial small subunit ribosomal RNA
Source: RNAcentral